ACCUCAUGGUUGGGACAUUGCAUGAGCUUCCCAUUAAAUCUCUCCCAUACCUUAUAUAGAGGUUCUCCAUUUAAUUGAUGAAAAUUAGUUAUUUUAUCAUGCAAUU
Molecule: non-coding RNA, 106 nt
Organism: Capsicum annuum
Lineage: Eukaryota; Viridiplantae; Streptophyta; Magnoliopsida; Solanales; Solanaceae
Source: Rfam